RNAcentral lists this non-coding RNA (187 nucleotides) under Shewanella algae. Its description in RNAcentral is "FMN sequence". It matches the Rfam family "FMN riboswitch aptamer (RFN element)". From Rfam's summary of the family: The RFN element is a highly conserved domain that is found frequently in the 5'-untranslated regions of prokaryotic mRNAs that encode for flavin mononucleotide (FMN) biosynthesis and transport proteins. This element is a metabolite-dependent riboswitch that directly binds FMN in the absence of proteins. The record is from RNAcentral. Lineage: Bacteria; Pseudomonadati; Pseudomonadota; Gammaproteobacteria; Alteromonadales; Shewanellaceae.
GUAAAUUCUCAGGGCGGGGUGAAAUUCCCCACCGGCGGUAAAUCGUGUCAGCGACAUGAAAGCCCGCGAGCGCCCGCCAGAUUUUGGCGGGGUCAGCAGAUCUGGUGUCAUCACAUCCUAGCGUGACUAAUCCAGAGCCGACGGUGUUGCCAUUUAGAUGGCUCAGUCCGGAUGAAAGAGAAUCAGA